GCUACGAUGAAUAUUAUAUUAAAAACUAUUUUAUUUUCUCAGUUAAUUUUGAUUGGAUGCUCUCAAACUUGUUGAGAAUCCAAAGAACUGGAGAAUAAUUGCGGUAGAUAUUGUUUUAAGGUAGUGAAGCCUAUUUUAGACCGCACGGUCCAAACAAAAAGAUACACAACAAAAAUUUGAAAAUAUUGAGCUAAAGUUGAAGAUAUUACUGGAUGAGAUGGCUAAGCUAAAACUGAAUUCUGUUCAAGAGAAAUCAGAAGGAAGAAGGUCUAAAAGUUACAAAGGAUUAUUUGAGAAAAUUGGAUCGAAGUAUUAUUAUUUUGAAAGAAAUCAAACAGAGAAUUGGUUUACUGCUGUCCACAAGUGUCACGAAUUCGGUGGACACUAGACUAGUCUACAAAAUUGAAGGGAAUUCAAUGCGUUAAUACCACUGGCCAUAAAGCACCCAACUUCAAUUGGCACCAGGGAGAAGCCAAUCAUAACCUUAAUGUUGAGAGAUGCGUCAUUUUGGAUUAUGGAUCCAAUGGGUUUCAAAUGAACGAUUAAGAUUGCAACUUUGACGGAUAUUUUAUCUGUGAAUUGUAUAAUCAUAAGUAAAAUAAAAAUCUAAGAAAACCUUAUCUCUUUGUAUCCAUACUAAAAAUCAGAACUCUCGAUUUAGUAAUCCUUUCAGCCAUUCCCCUCUCCACCGAGCAGUAACCGUGACAGCCCAAUUAAACGCACUAACAAAAAAAAAAAAAAAAAGCGAAAUUUUUUGUAUUUCAUCUCACACAUACGAAAAUGUAAUCAGCGGUAGAAAAUAAACUCAGCUUGCUUGACUUUAAAGUUGGCCUCAAAAAUGCAAAAGAAGAAUUAAAAAAU
Molecule: long non-coding RNA, 861 nt
Organism: Drosophila innubila
Lineage: Eukaryota; Metazoa; Arthropoda; Insecta; Diptera; Drosophilidae
Exons: 3
Source: RefSeq, a predicted model, not a curated record